UUUGGGAAUCUUCCGCAAUGGGUGAAAGCCUGACGGAGCAAUACCGCGUGAGGGACGAAGGCCCUCUGGGCUGUAAACCUCUUUUCUCAAGGAAGAAGAUAUGACGGUACUUGAGGAAUAAGCCACGGCUAAUUCCGUGCCAGCAGCCGCGGUAAUACGGGAGUGGCAAGCGUUAUCCGGAAUUAUUGGGCGUAAAGCGUCCGCAGGCGGCUUUUCAAGUCUGCUGUUAAAGCGUGGAGCUUAACUCCAUCAUGGCAGUGGAAACUGAAAGGCUUGAGUAUGGUAGGGGCAGAGGGAAUUCCCGGUGUAGCGGUGAAAUGCGUAGAUAUCGGGAAGAACACCAGUGGCGAAGGCGCUCUGCUGGGCCAUCACUGACGCUCAUGGACGAAAGCCAGGGGAGCGAAAGGGAUUAGAUACCCCUGUAGUCA
This 428-nucleotide ribosomal RNA is filed under the name uncultured cyanobacterium. RNAcentral's name for it is "bacterial SSU rRNA". It matches the Rfam family "Bacterial small subunit ribosomal RNA", at positions 354 to 796 of the family's 1533-position model. The record is from RNAcentral. Lineage: Bacteria; Bacillati; Cyanobacteriota.